This 225-nucleotide ribosomal RNA is filed under the name uncultured fungus. Its description in RNAcentral is "partial small subunit ribosomal RNA". The stretch from base 98 to 225 matches the Rfam family "Eukaryotic small subunit ribosomal RNA", at positions 735 to 864 of the family's 1831-position model. Lineage: Eukaryota; Fungi. The record is from RNAcentral.
GAUUAGUCGCCCUGGCCCGCUGGCUUAUGUCUGUGAGUGCUGGUGCGUACUAGUCAUCCUUCUAGCUUGCCAUGCGUACCGUUUAUUCGGCCGCGCGUGUGUGAACUAGAUCUUUUACUUUGAAAAAAUUAGAGUGUUUAAAGCAGGCUUACGCCGUGAAUACAUUAGCAUGGAAUAAUAAUAUAGGACUUUGGUUCUAUUUUGUUGGUUUCUAGGACUGAAGUA